Molecule: long non-coding RNA, 1191 nt
Organism: Diceros bicornis minor
Lineage: Eukaryota; Metazoa; Chordata; Mammalia; Perissodactyla; Rhinocerotidae
Exons: 3
Source: RefSeq, a predicted model, not a curated record
AAGUGCGGUUUUAAAGUGUCUACUGGAUAUUCGCAAAAUUUUUCAGGAAAACGACCCAGCUUAACAUUCUAAACAAUCCCUACGUCUCAGACUACUGUGUGUGGAUUCAGAAAGCCAAGGAAGUUUUGAGUUCCUUGCGAAUUUUACAUACUCCUGUCUCUGGAACACCUGCUUACCCAGCAGGAAGAAAAUGAAAUAACCUGGAGUAUAAGUUUUAAUGAAAGAGAAACCCCAGAUAGCUACCAAACACUGGAAGAAUUGACUGGAUCAAUGUGGGGAGCUUGGUGAACUUGCUUAGAGAAGAGGUGCAGACGGUGAAAAGGAAAUUUUACCAGAAAAAACUGGUACAGCCUGGAAGAUAGGUGUUAAAGCAGACAGUGGAUUCAAUGGUCCCAAUUUAAAGGCUAUUUUAUUUUCAAACUGGAGAAAGUGCUGGUUGAUUUCAGAACUUCAGCUCCUGAACCAAGAGGUCCUCCCAACCCUAUGUGGAAUAUAUUCCCUUUGAUGAAAUGAAGGAAAGAGUACUGAAAACUGUCACUGGAUUUAAUGGACUGGCCCUGAGCUAACAUCCGUGCCCAUCUUCCUCCACUUUAUAUGGGAUGCCGCCACAGCAUGGCUUGACAAGCAGUGCGUCAGUGUGCACCCAGGAUCCGAACCUGGGAACCCCAGGCCCCCGCAGCGGAGCGCACGCACUUAACCGCUUGCGCCACCGGGCCAGCCCCCUUAUUGGCUUCCUUAUGAAUUGUGAUUUCAUAUCCUUUUUUGUUUUUCUUAUCUUUUGGUGAUUUUCUAAUUGUUAAGUUUAUUUUGUUGUUGUUUUGGUUUGCUUUUAAUUAGUAUAAAAGCUCUAUAUUAAACGCUUUGUAGUAUUUUGCCAUGAAAAAGAUUAUUCAUCUUUUCUUUUUGAAGUGGAAAUUGUCCAUUCACUUGUUUGCUUGAUUUCCUGAGCUGUAAGCUUCUGGAGAGCAGAUGGUAACUGUCUGUUCCAAACAAGGCCUAGAACAGUGAAUACCUGAACAUAGGAGGUUCUCAAACAAACAAGUACUGAAUGAACGAGUGAAAGGAAGAAGAGCUCGGUUCUGUAUCUGUGUGUUGUUUAACGGGGCAUGGUAGAUAGAAUUACAUAGUUGAAUACUUCUUUUUUUUUAGUUAUAUUUUCUUGUGCUUUCAAAAUUACUUUUGAACUUUAAA